Molecule: ribosomal RNA, 492 nt
Filed under: uncultured bacterium
Lineage: Bacteria
Description: partial 16S ribosomal RNA
Rfam family: Bacterial small subunit ribosomal RNA
Source: RNAcentral
AGUGAACGCUGGCGGUAGGCCUAACACAUGCAAGUCGAACGGCAGCACAGUAAGAGCUUGCUCUUACGGGUGGCGAGUGGCGGACGGGUGAGGAAUACAUCGGAAUCUACUUUUUCGUGGGGGAUAACGUAGGGAAACUUACGCUAAUACCGCAUACGACCUACGGGUGAAAGCAGGGGAUCUUCGGACCUUGGGCGAUUGAAUGAGCCGAUGUCGGAUUAGCUAGUUGGCGGGGUAAAGGCACACCAAGGCGACGAUCCGUAGCUGGUCUGAGAGGAUGAUCAGCCACACUGGAACUGAGACACGGUCCAGACUCCUACGGGAGGCAGCAGUAGGGAAUCUUGGACAAUGGGCGCAAGCCUGAUCCAGCCAUACCGCGUGGGUGAAGAAGGCCUUCGGGUUGUAAAGCCCUUUUGUUGGGAAAGAAAAGCAGCAGGUUAAUACCCCGCUGUUCUGACGGUACCCAAAGAAUAAGCCCCGGCUAACUUCGUG